Molecule: ribosomal RNA, 775 nt
Filed under: uncultured organism
Description: SSU rRNA
Rfam family: Bacterial small subunit ribosomal RNA
Source: RNAcentral
GACGAACGCUGGCGGCGUGCUUAACACAUGCAAGUCGUACGGUAAGGCCCUUUCGGGGGUACACGAGUGGCGAACGGGUGAGUAACACGUGAGUAACCUGCCCACAACUUUGGGAUAACGCUAGGAAACUGGUGCUAAUACUGGAUAUGUGCUCCUGCUGCAUGGUGGGGGUUGGAAAGCUCCGGCGGUUGUGGAUGGACUCGCGGCCUAUCAGCCUGUUGGUGGGGUAGUGGCCUACCAAGGCGGCGACGGGUAGCCGGCCUGAGAGGGUGACCGGCCACAUUGGGACUGAGAUACGGCCCAGACUCCUACGGGAGGCAGCAGUGGGGAAUAUUGCACAAUGGGCGCAAGCCUGAUGCAGCAACGCCGCGUGCGGGAUGACGGCCUUCGGGUUGUAAACCGCUCUCAGCAGGGACGAAGCUUUUUGUGACGGUACCUGCAGAAGAAGCACCGGCUAACUACGUGCCAGCAGCCGCGGUGAUACGUAGGGUGCGAGCGUUGUCCGGAUUUAUUGGGCGUAAAGGGCUCGUAGGCGGUUGAUCGCGUCGGAAGUGGAAACUUGAUGCUUAGCGUUGAGCGUGCUUUCGAUACGGGUUGACUUGAGGAAGGUAGGGGAGAAUGGAAUUCCUGGUGGAGCGGUGGAAUGCGCAGAUAUCAGGAGGAACACCAGUGGCGAAGGCGGUUCUCUGGACCUUUCCUGACGCUGAGGAGCGAAAGCGUGGGGAGCGAACAGGCUUAGAUACCCUGGUAGUCCACGCUGUAAACGGUGGGUAAC